Molecule: ribosomal RNA, 23 nt
Filed under: Neofusicoccum eucalyptorum
Lineage: Eukaryota; Fungi; Ascomycota; Dothideomycetes; Botryosphaeriales; Botryosphaeriaceae
Description: partial 18S ribosomal RNA
Source: RNAcentral
UGCGGAAGGAUCAUUACCGAGUU